GACAGAGGAUGCAAGCGUUAUCCGGAUUUACUGGGUUUAAAGGGUGCGUAGGCGGGCAUGUAAGUCAGUGGUGAAAUACCGGAGCUUAACUUCGGAACUGCCAUUGAUACUAUAUGUCUUGAAUAUUGUGGAGGUAAGCGGAAUAUGUCAUGUAGCGGUGAAAUGCAUAGAUAUGACAUAGAACACCGAUUGCGGAGGCAGCUUGCUACGCAAAUAUUGACGCUGAGGCACGAAAGCGUGGGGAGCAAACAGG
This 253-nucleotide ribosomal RNA is filed under the name uncultured bacterium. RNAcentral describes it as "partial 16S ribosomal RNA". It matches the Rfam family "Bacterial small subunit ribosomal RNA", at positions 524 to 776 of the family's 1533-position model. The record is from RNAcentral.